GUACUGCUGAAGAGUCCCAAACACCUGGACGAGACAGUUAGCUGUCCAGUAC
This 52-nucleotide non-coding RNA is filed under the name Trichobilharzia regenti. The record is from RNAcentral. Lineage: Eukaryota; Metazoa; Platyhelminthes; Trematoda; Strigeidida; Schistosomatidae.